CCUACGGGGGGCAGCAGUGGGGGAUAUUGCACAAUGGGGGGAACCCUGAUGCAGCAACGCCGCGUGAGUGAAGAAGGCCCUAGGGUCGUAAAGCUCUGUCGUAUGGGAAGAAACAAAUGACUGUACCAUACAAGAAAGCCCCGGCUAACUACGUGCCAGCAGCCGCGGUAAUACGUAGGGGGCAAGCGUUAUCCGGAAUUACUGGGCGUAAAGGGUGCGUAGGCGGCUAGUUAAGUCGAGGUUAAAAGGCAGUAGCUCAACUACUGUUGGGCCUUGAAACUAAUUAGCUUGAGUAUAGGAGAGGAAAGUGGAAUUCCCGGUGUAGCGGUGAAAUGCGUAGAUAUCGGGAGGAAUACCGGUGGCGAAGGCGACUUUCUGGACUAUAACUGACGCUGAGGCACGAAAGCGUGGGUAGCAAACAGGAUUAGAUACCCGUGUAGUC
Molecule: ribosomal RNA, 442 nt
Filed under: uncultured Peptostreptococcaceae bacterium
Lineage: Bacteria; Bacillati; Bacillota; Clostridia; Peptostreptococcales; Peptostreptococcaceae
Description: bacterial SSU rRNA
Rfam family: Bacterial small subunit ribosomal RNA
Source: RNAcentral